Molecule: unclassified non-coding RNA, 946 nt
Filed under: Homo sapiens (human)
Lineage: Eukaryota; Metazoa; Chordata; Mammalia; Primates; Hominidae
Description: BCL2-like 12 (proline rich), transcript variant 56
Source: RNAcentral
AUGGGACGGCCCGCUGGGCUGUUCCCGCCCCUAUGCCCUUUUUUGGGUUUCCGGCCAGAGGCAUGCUGGGAGCGUCACAUGCAAAUUGAGCGUGCACCCAGCGUUCCGCCCUUUCUACGCUGGGCCGGUUAUCGACCCGGCCCAGUGCGCAGGCGCGGGAAAGUUGAACUAAUAAAGUUUGUACGAGUUCAGUGGAGGAGACCGCAAGUUGAGUGGAGGAGGCGGCGGUGGGGCCCCGGACCAGGUGCCUCCAUGGCAGGCUCUGAAGAGCUGGGGCUCCGGGAAGACACGCUGAGGGUCCUAGCUGCCUUCCUUAGGCGUGGUGAGGCUGCCGGGUCUCCUGUUCCAACUCCACCUAGCCCUGCCCAAGAAGAGCCAACAGACUUCCUGAGCCGCCUUCGAAGAUGUCUUCCCUGCUCCCUGGGGCGAGGAGCAGCCCCCUCUGAGUCCCCUCGGCCUUGCUCUCUGCCCAUCCGCCCCUGCUAUGGUUUAGAGCCUGGUAAGAGAUUUCCAUGAUCAUCUAUGAAGCCGGCAGAACACGGGAUAAGGCCCAGCUACUCCAGACUUCUAUGCUUUGGUGGCCCAGCGGCUGGAACAGCUGGUCCAAGAGCAGCUGAAAUCUCCGCCCAGCCCAGAAUUACAGGGUCCCCCAUCGACAGAGAAGGAAGCCAUACUGCGGAGGCUGGUGGCCCUGCUGGAGGAGGAGGCAGAAGUCAUUAACCAGAAGGAGGGCAUCCUGGCUGUUUCACCCGUGGACUUGAACUUGCCAUUGGACUGAGCUCUUUCUCAGAAGCUGCUACAAGAUGACACCUCAUGUCCCUGCCCUCUUCGUGUGCUUUUCCAAGUCUUCCUAUUCCACUCAGGGCUGUGGGGUGGUGGUUGCCCUACCUGUUUUUGCCAAAAAUAAAUUGUUUAAAACUUUUCUUAUUAAAAACGUUACAAAGUA